AGGAAAGUCUAGUCCUUUGUAAAUAAACGCAUUGCAUUGUGAAUGCGAUAACGUUAGCGCUUAGGUAAGUGAGUGGGAUAAAUACAUCUUAUUUCUCUCGCAAGAGAACGAAAGCGUUUGCUCCUCCGAAGCUUGUUCGAGGACAAGGUAUAAUAUAUUGAAUACCGCUUGGAUUUUUAUCCAGGGAAAAUUGGCGCGGGGUGAAAUACUUCACUCAACUAAAUUUAGCUUACCGCU
Molecule: non-coding RNA, 237 nt
Filed under: Candidatus Hodgkinia cicadicola
Lineage: Bacteria; Pseudomonadati; Pseudomonadota; Alphaproteobacteria; Hyphomicrobiales
Source: RNAcentral